RNAcentral lists this ribosomal RNA (253 nucleotides) under uncultured bacterium. RNAcentral's name for it is "partial 16S ribosomal RNA". It matches the Rfam family "Bacterial small subunit ribosomal RNA", at positions 524 to 776 of the family's 1533-position model. The record is from RNAcentral.
UACGUAGGGUGCAAGCGUUGUCCGGAAUUAUUGGGCGUAAAGGGCUCGUAGGCGGUUUGUCGCGUCGGGAGUGAAAACACCGGGCUUAACUCGGUGCUGGCUUUCGAUACGGGCAGACUAGAGGUAUUCAGGGGAGAACGGAAUUCCUGGUGUAGCGGUGAAAUGCGCAGAUAUCAGGAGGAACACCGGUGGCGAAGGCGGUUCUCUGGGAAUGUCCUGACGCUGAGGAGCGAAAGUGUGGGGAGCGAACAGG